GAUGAACGCUGGCGGCGUGCCUAAUACAUGCAAGUCGAGCGAACGGACGAGAAGCUUGCUUUUCUGAUGUUAGCGGCGGACGGGCGAGUAACACGUGGAUAACCUACCUAUAAGACUGGGAUAACUUCGGGAAACCGGAGCUAAUAACGGCUAAUAUUUUGAACCGCAUGAUUCAAAAGUGAAAGACGGUCUUGCUGUCACUUAUAGAUGGAUCCGCGCUGCAUUAGCUAGUUGGUAAGGUAACGGCUUACCAAGGCAACGAUGCAUAGCCGACCUGAGAGGGUGAUCGGCCACACUGGAACUGAGACACGGUCCAGACUCCUACGGGAGGCAGCAGUAGGGAAUCUUCCGCAAUGGGCGAAAGCCUGACGGAGCAACGCCGCGUGAGUGAUGAAGGUCUUCGGAUCGUAAAACUCUGUUAUUAGGGAAGAACAUAUGUGUAAGUAACUGUGCACAUCUUGACGGUACCUAAUCAGAAAGCCACGGCUAACUACGUG
RNAcentral lists this ribosomal RNA (497 nucleotides) under uncultured bacterium. Its description in RNAcentral is "partial 16S ribosomal RNA". It matches the Rfam family "Bacterial small subunit ribosomal RNA", at positions 28 to 507 of the family's 1533-position model. The record is from RNAcentral.